Molecule: transfer RNA, 87 nt
Filed under: Puniceibacterium sp. IMCC21224
Lineage: Bacteria; Pseudomonadati; Pseudomonadota; Alphaproteobacteria; Rhodobacterales; Paracoccaceae
Also listed under: 2 other names
Rfam family: tRNA
About the family: Transfer RNA (tRNA) molecules are approximately 80 nucleotides in length.
Source: Rfam by way of RNAcentral
GGAGAGGUGCCAGAGUGGUCGAAUGGGGCGGUCUCGAAAACCGUUGAGCCUUCACGGGUUCCCAGGGUUCGAAUCCCUGUCUCUCCG